This 425-nucleotide ribosomal RNA is filed under the name uncultured bacterium. RNAcentral's name for it is "bacterial SSU rRNA". It matches the Rfam family "Bacterial small subunit ribosomal RNA", at positions 356 to 773 of the family's 1533-position model. The record is from RNAcentral.
GGGGGAUAUUGCACAAUGGACGAAAGUCUGAUGGAGCAACGCCGCGUGAGCGAUGAAGGCCUUCGGGUCGUAAAGCUCUGUUGUUAGGGAAGAACAAGUAUCGGAGUAACUGCCGGUGCCUUGACGGUACCUAACCAGAAAGCCACGGCCAACUACGUGCCAGCAGCCGCGGUAAUACGUAGGUGGCAAGCGUUGUCCGGAAUUAUUGGGCGUAAAGCGCGCGCAGGCGGUCCUUUAAGUCUGAUGUGAAAGCCCACGGCUCAACCGUGGAGGGUCAUUGGAAACUGGGGGACUUGAGUGCAGAAGAGGAAAGCGGAAUUCCACGUGUAGCGGUGAAAUGCGUAGAGAUGUGGAGGAACACCAGUGGCGAAGGCGGCUUUCUGGUCUGUAACUGACGCUGAGGCGCGAAAGCGUGGGGAGCAAAC